This 504-nucleotide ribosomal RNA is filed under the name uncultured bacterium. RNAcentral's name for it is "partial 16S ribosomal RNA". It matches the Rfam family "Bacterial small subunit ribosomal RNA", at positions 30 to 523 of the family's 1533-position model. The record is from RNAcentral.
AUUGAACGCUGGCGGCAUGCCUUACACAUGCAAGUCGAACGGCAGCAUGGAGAGCUUGCUCUCUGAUGGCGAGUGGCGAACGGGUGAGUCAUGCAUCGGAACGUACCUUGUAAUGGGGGAUACCGUAGCGAAAGUGACGCUAAUACCGCAUACGACCUGAGGGUGAAAGCAGGGGAUCGCAAGACCUCGCGUUAUACGAGCGGCCGAUGUCAGAUUAGCUAGUUGGUGAGGUAAAGGCUCACCAAGGCGACGAUCUGUAGCGGGUCUGAGAGGAUGAUCCGCCACACUGAGACUGAGACACGGCCCAGACUCCUACGGGAGGCAGCAGUGGGGAAUUUUGGACAAUGGGGGCAACCCUGAUCCAGCCAUGCCGCGUGAGUGAAGAAGGCCUUCGGGUUGUAAAGCUCUUUCGGCCGGGAAGAAAUCGCACAGGCUAAUACUCUGUGUGGAUGACGGUACCGGCAUAAGAAGCACCGGCUAACUACGUGCCAGCCGCCGCCGUAA